This 1482-nucleotide long non-coding RNA is filed under the name Homo sapiens (human). RNAcentral describes it as "non-protein coding lnc-SSTR4-2:3". Lineage: Eukaryota; Metazoa; Chordata; Mammalia; Primates; Hominidae. The record is from RNAcentral.
GAGUCAUCCCUCCCAGAGCAGGAAGAGCAGAGAUAAAACAGCAUGUAAGCAUCUCUGCAGUUGCUGUCCCCAGAGCCCACUUCCUGGAUAUUGCCAGCUGCCUGGACCAACCUUUCCGAAAGAUCAGCCAGGUCACAGUGAGGGUCAAAGGUGAGCCACGGGCCUCAGCAGCUGCUGAGUGGAUGGUGCGUGGGACUCAGGAAGUGACGUUCUCUCCCCGCCCAGCCCCCUUCCUCAGUCUAUUGCUCCGAAUCCUGGACCACACACUGCGUGCUGAGGCUCCAUCGCUGUGCUGGGUGAGGGGUGGAGGACUGUCCAGCUGACAGCCACCCAGGAGGCCUGCCCAGGAGACCCAGCCCAGCCUCUCCUUGGAACCUGAAGAACUCCAGGCAGCUGAUGGGACACUGGGGCCCAGCAGGAGGCCACUGGAGGCUCCAAGGGCUCUGAAAUGUUGAGAACUUCCCUGCAGGUACCAGCGAAGAGGGCAAGAACACAGCACUACUUCCUUGGAUACUGUUUCCCUCCUCAGAGGGGUUUUCUGAGCUGCCCUGGGUCCUGUGAGGAAGAUCUCCCCUUCCUGUAAAGACACCAGUCCUACUGGAUCAGGGCCCACCCGUGUGACUUCACUUUUACUUGAGUACCUCUCACAGACCCUAACUCCAAAUCAGGUCACUUGCUGAGGUACUGCAUGUGAAGACUUUGACAUUUGAAUUUUGAGGGGGCCACCGUUUAACCUGAACCACCAAGGACAGAGCCAAAGACCCUGGGUGACAGGCCCAGAACAGGACCUGGUGGAGGCUCUUCUUUAGGGGAGAGAGGGAAAUGGGAGCCACCACUGGCAGAGCCUGAAGGCAGGGCAGCCAGAAAGAAGCUGUGGGAGUCCCCACCAUGGAAGACCCUGCCGAGCAUCCUGUGUCUCCUGAAGCAGACCCUGACAUGAGGACUGGGGGCACGUGUUUAUUAAGGGCGAUCCCCGGAAGGAGGAGAUAACCAGGCAGAAGUCCUAGCAGAGUAUGCCCACGCUGGUUAGUGCUGCUGCAAAGAUGAGCCGAAGACCAUGAGAGACCUCCAGGUGGUCCUUCUGGGGAGAAGAAAUGGGUUUUGGCCCCAAAUCCUUCUGCUGCAUUUUUCCCCUAUCCCUGGGAAGCCAUGAGACCUCAAACCUGUGUUCCCAAGGAGGCGAGCUGCUGUUCCCAGGUGAUGAUAUGAUGUGCUUGGGGAAAGUAAGUGGCUGCCAGACAUGGCUGAGAGCUGUUGUCACUGCCGUCAAGUGCAUGUCUCCAAGCCAUAUCACACGGCGUCCCUCGAUGUGAGGCCACAUGGCAAGUGGGCCGUGGAUCUCCCUCUGCCCUUUGCAAGCACGUAAGACAGCAGAUUUUGCAGAUACCUUGUGGCGCAGGGGAAUUUCCUUUGGCCAGGUCUGAAGAAAUAAAGCAGCAGGCACCGAGAACAAAGCCAAGGCUUUCAAAAGACAAGGAGCCA